RNAcentral lists this ribosomal RNA (433 nucleotides) under uncultured bacterium. RNAcentral's name for it is "partial 16S ribosomal RNA". It matches the Rfam family "Bacterial small subunit ribosomal RNA", at positions 29 to 507 of the family's 1533-position model. The record is from RNAcentral.
AACGAACGCUGGCGGCAUGCCUAACACAUGCAAGUCGAACGAGACCUUCGGGUCUAGUGGCGCACGGGUGCGUAACGCGUGGGAACCUGCCCUUAGGUUCGGAAUAACUCCCCGAAUGGGGUGCUAAUACCGGAUAAUGUCUUCGGACCAAAGAUUUAUCGCCUUUGGAUGGGCCCGCGUUGGAUUAGCUAGUUGGUAGGGUAAAAGCCUACCAAGGCGACGAUCCAUAGCUGGUCAGAGAGGGUGAUCAGCCACACUGGGGCUGAGACACGGCCCAGACUCCUACGGGAGGGAGCAAAGGGGAAUAUUGAACAAUGGCCGAAAGCCUGAUCCAGCAAUGCCGCGUGAGUGAUGAAGGCCUUAGGGUUGUAAAGCUCUUUUACCCGGGAUGAUAAUGACAGUACCGGGAGAAUAAGCUCCGGCUAACUCCGUG